AUUGAACGCUGGCGGCAUGCUUUACACAUGCAAGUCGGACGGCAGCACAGAGAAGCUUGCUUCUUGGGUGGCGAGUGGCGAACGGGUGAGUAAUAUAUCGGAACGUACCGAGUAAUGGGGGAUAACUAAUCGAAAGAUUAGCUAAUACCGCAUAUUCUCUGAGGAGGAAAGCAGGGGACCUUCGGGCCUUGCGUUAUUCGAGCGGCCGAUAUCUGAUUAGCUAGUUGGUGGGGUAAAGGCCUACCAAGGCGACGAUCAGUAGCGGGUCUGAGAGGAUGAUCCGCCACACUGGGACUGAGACACGGCCCAGACUCCUACGGGAGGCAGCAGUGGGGAAUUUUGGACGAUGGGCGCAGGCCUGAUCCAGCCAUGCCGCGUGUCUGAAAAAGGCCUUCGGGUUGUAAAGGACUUUUGUCAGGGAAGAAAAGGCUGUUGCUAAUAUCGACAGCUGAUGACGGUACCUGAAGAAUAAGCACCGGCUAGCUACGUG
This 490-nucleotide ribosomal RNA is filed under the name uncultured bacterium. Its description in RNAcentral is "partial 16S ribosomal RNA". It matches the Rfam family "Bacterial small subunit ribosomal RNA", at positions 30 to 507 of the family's 1533-position model. The record is from RNAcentral.